RNAcentral lists this ribosomal RNA (253 nucleotides) under uncultured bacterium. RNAcentral's name for it is "partial 16S ribosomal RNA". It matches the Rfam family "Bacterial small subunit ribosomal RNA", at positions 524 to 776 of the family's 1533-position model. The record is from RNAcentral.
UACGUAGGGUGCGAGCGUUAAUCGGAAUUACUGGGCGUAAAGAGUGCGUAGGCGGUUAUUUGUGUCCGCUGUGAAAGCCCCGGGCUUAACCUGGGAAUGGCAGUGGAAACUAGAGAACUUGAAUCUGGCAGAGGGGGGUGGAAUGCCACGUGUAGCAGUGAAAUGCGUAGAUAUGUGGCGGAACACCGAUGGCGAAGGCAGCCCCCUGGGCUGAGAUUGACGCUCAGGCACGAAAGCGUGGGGAGCAAACAGG